This 1323-nucleotide ribosomal RNA is filed under the name Salmonella enterica subsp. enterica serovar Newport. RNAcentral describes it as "partial 23S ribosomal RNA". It matches the Rfam family "Bacterial large subunit ribosomal RNA", at positions 161 to 1439 of the family's 2925-position model. Lineage: Bacteria; Pseudomonadati; Pseudomonadota; Gammaproteobacteria; Enterobacterales; Enterobacteriaceae. The record is from RNAcentral.
AAUCCAUAGGUUAAUGAGGCGAACCGGGGGAACUGAAACAUCUAAGUACCCCGAGGAAAAGAAAUCAACCGAGAUUCCCCCAGUAGCGGCGAGCGAACGGGGAGGAGCCCAGAGCCUGAAUCAGCAUGUGUGUUAGUGGAAGCGUCUGGAAAGGCGCGCGAUACAGGGUGACAGCCCCGUACACAAAAGCGCAUGUGCUGUGAGCUCGAUGAGUAGGGCGGGACACGUGGUAUCCUGUCUGAAUAUGGGGGGACCAUCCUCCAAGGCUAAAUACUCCUGACUGACCGAUAGUGAACCAGUACCGUGAGGGAAAGGCGAAAAGAACCCCGGCGAGGGGAGUGAAAAAGAACCUGAAACCGUGUACGUACAAGCAGUGGGAGCACAGGUUUACCUGUGUGACUGCGUACCUUUUGUAUAAUGGGUCAGCGACUUAUAUUCUGUAGCAAGGUUAACCGAAUAGGGGAGCCGGAGGGAAACCGAGUCUUAAUUGGGCGUUAAGUUGCAGGGUAUAGACCCGAAACCCGGUGAUCUAGCCAUGGGCAGGUUGAAGGUUGGGUAACACUAACUGGAGGACCGAACCGACUAAUGUUGAAAAAUUAGCGGAUGACCUGUGGCUGGGGGUGAAAGGCCAAUCAAACCGGGAGAUAGCUGGUUCUCCCCGAAAGCUAUUUAGGUAGCGCCUCGUGAAUUCAUCUCCGGGGGUAGAGCACUGUUUCGGCUAGGGGGCCAUCCCGGCUUACCAACCCGAUGCAAACUGCGAAUACCGGAGAAUGUUAUCACGGGAGACACACGGCGGGUGCUAACGUCCGUCGUGAAGAGGGAAACAACCCAGACCGCCAGCUAAGGUCCCAAAGUCAUGGUUAAGUGGGAAACGAUGUGGGAAGGCCCAGACAGCCAGGAUGUUGGCUUAGAAGCAGCCAUCAUUUAAAGAAAGCGUAAUAGCUCACUGGUCGAGUCGGCCUGCGCGGAAGAUGUAACGGGGCUAAACCAUGCACCGAAGCUGCGGCAGCGAACGUAUCACUUAAAGCGAUUCAGCGGGUUACGAUUGACGGAGCGAAGCGACGUCAAAGCGUAUACAAAGUCGAGUCGGUUUAAGGAUACGUUCGUUGGGUAGGGGAGCGUUCUGUAAGCCUGUGAAGGUGGCCUGUGAGGGUUGCUGGAGGUAUCAGAAGUGCGAAUGCUGACAUAAGUAACGAUAAAGCGGGUGAAAAGCCCGCUCGCCGGAAGACCAAGGGUUCCUGUCCAACGUUAAUCGGGGCAGGGUGAGUCGACCCCUAAGGCGAGGCCGAAAGGCGUAGUCGAUGGGAAACAGGUUAAUAUUCC